AGUGGCGAACGGGUGAGUAACACGUGAGUAAUCUGCCCUUUACAUUGGGAUAACAUUUCGAAAGAAAUGCUAAUACCGAAUAUUCUGGCUUUUUUGCAUGAAAAAGUUGGGAAAGGAUUUCCGGUAAAGGAUGAGCUCGCGGCUUAUCAGCUAGUUGGUGGGGUAAUGGCUUACCAAGGCUAUGACGAGUAACCGGCCUGAGAGGGUGGUCGGUCACACUGGGACUGAGAUACGGCCCAGACUCCUACGGGAGGCAGCAGUGGGGAAUAUUGCACAAUGGGCGAAAGCCUGAUGCAGCGACGCCGUGUGGGGGAUGAAGGCCUUCGGGUCGUAAACCUCUUUCGCUUAUCAGCAAGUCACUAUUUUGUUAGUGAUGAGUAUAGUAGGUAAAGAAGCACCGGCUAACUACGUGCCAGCAGCCGCGGUAAUACGUAGGGUGCGAGCGUUAUCCGGAAUUAUUGGGCGUAAAGAGCUUGUAGGUGGUUGGUCGCGUCUGCCGUGAAAGCCCAUGGCUUAACCGUGGGUUUGCGGUGGGUACGGGCCAGCUUGAGUGUAGUAGGGGAGAUUGGAAUUCCUGGUGUAGCGGUGGAAUGCGCAGAUAUCAGGAGGAACACCGGUGGCGAAGGCGAAUCUCUGGGCUAUAACUGACACUGAGGAGCGAAAGCAUGGGGAGCGAACAGGAUUAGAUACCCUGGUAGUCCAUGCUGUAAACGUUGGGAACUAGAUGUGGGGAUUUUGUUAUUUCUGCGUCGUAGCUAACGCUUUAAGUUCCCCGCCUGGGGGAGUACGGUCGCAAGGCUAAAACUCAAAGGAAUUGACGGGGGGCCCGCACAAGCGGGCGGAGCAUGCGGAAUUAAUUCGAUGCAACGCGAAGAACCUUACCAAGGCUUGACAUGUACCAGAACAGUAUAGAGAUAUAUUGGCCUUUUAGGCUGGUAUACAGGUGGUGCAUGGUUGUCGUCAGCUCGUGUCGUGAGAUGUUGGGUUAAGUCCCGCAACGAGCGCAACCCUUGUCCUAUGUUGCCAGCACGUUAUGGUGGGAACUCAUGGGAAACUGCCGGGGUCAACUCGGAGGAAGGUGGGGAUGACGUCAAAUCAUCAUGCCCCUUAUGUCUUGGGCUUCACGCGUGCUACAAUGGCGCAUACAGAGAGCUGCGAUACCGUGAGGUGGAGCGAAUCUCUUAAAGUGCGUCUCAGUUCGGAUCGGGGUCUGCAACUCGACCCCGUGAAGGUGGAGUCGCUAGUAAUCGCAGAUCAGCAAUGCUGCGGUGAAUACGUUCUCGGGCCUUGUACACACCGCCCGUCACGUCACGAAAGUUGGUAACACCCGAAGAACAUGGCCUAACCUUUUGGAGGGAGUGUUCUAAGGUGGGAUUAGCGAUUGGGACGAAGUCGUAACAAGGUAGCC
Molecule: ribosomal RNA, 1408 nt
Filed under: uncultured bacterium
Lineage: Bacteria
Description: bacterial SSU rRNA
Rfam family: Bacterial small subunit ribosomal RNA
Source: RNAcentral